CCGGGUGCCUGCUUAACGGCCAAAUGACAGGCAACAUCUGUUUGUAAGAAAGCCAAGAUCGACUCUUAAAAAAAUUGUCUUGAUUCUCUCUCUUUCACUCUCUCUAUCUCUCUCUCUCUCUCUCUCUAUUGCUCUCUUUCACUGACUCACUCUGUUGAAUAAAAGCGAAAGAAAGAAGAGACUGUGGAAAUUCGGCGAAAGGGAAAAUGGAGUUGUGCACCAGCCCCUUCACCCCUUUUAACCUCGCCCCUUCCGUUAACGCUUCUCUUCCCCAGCUGGAGAGAGAGAGUCCAGGUCACUAGGCUGCUCGUUAUGGCGCACACCUGUCACAAUCGUU
Molecule: long non-coding RNA, 337 nt
Organism: Oncorhynchus tshawytscha (Chinook salmon)
Lineage: Eukaryota; Metazoa; Chordata; Actinopteri; Salmoniformes; Salmonidae
Source: Ensembl